GGAAGAAAUACCCAAAGGGGUCUGGGUAUUUUGAGAAACUUCCUUAGCCAUGGAACGGAAUUGGGUUUCUUGCUCGUUUGAACUUCUUGGCUUUGAUACCAUAGAGGGAAUAGAGUUGUAUUGAAAGGGUAAAAAACACACAUUGUAUUAAAAACACACACAUUGUAUUGAGUCUCUCUCGCCUAUGACAAAUCGCCCUAAGCCCUAAUUUCCUCUCUCUCUCCUUGACGCUCUUUCAGUUCGCCAUCAAAGUAUGCCCUCUCGUUCGCCGUUUGUCUGAUCGGUAAGCAAACCUUAAAUUCUCUCUUGCUAUCAAAAUAUUCCUAAGCCCUAAUUACUUUUCUCUUUCAAUUCGCCCUAAGAACAGCCAUAGCCUGCUCUCAAUACCCUGAACAUCCAUAUAUAUCGGCGUUUGGACGUUCUUUGGAGAGUUCUCAUCACCUGUGUCUUCGAUGCUCUUUGCGUAGCAGGAGUGAGUAGUUCUCCACUACUUGGGCAAGAAUAUUUUUAAUAGAACCCUAACCUUUCUUACCCAAAUUCUCUGAAUCCAUCAUAGAAACCCUAACCCCCUCCUACCCAAAUUAUCUGAAUCCCUUUGUCUCUCUGAAUCCCAAACACUGUAAAUCCUCCUUCACGAGUUUCAUCUCUUAAUUGCUCGGAGCUUCGUUUUCCAUCACAGAGGAUAAUUGCCCAGGAUCUUCAAUAUAGUUUGGUAAAGCAUUAUACAGAGAUAAGGUAGAGUUGUCAGGUCAUAACUAGGAUUGCAUUUGCUGUUACUCUUUUUGUUGCCACUAUACUUUUUGUAUGGCUCAUGAAGAAGUUGCAUGGAAGAGAGAGACUCAAACAGAGCAAAAGUUUUUGUUUUAUUUUGGUUAAGUAAAAAUAUAAGGUGUGGAUCAUGUACUUCUUUGAAUUUGUAUAUGGUUAAUUUUUGUGUAAAACCAUAA
Cornus florida is the source of this 947-nucleotide long non-coding RNA. RefSeq lists it as uncharacterized. Lineage: Eukaryota; Viridiplantae; Streptophyta; Magnoliopsida; Cornales; Cornaceae. The transcript is spliced from 3 exons. The record is from RefSeq and is a predicted model, not a curated record.